CUUUAAUGGUUGAGAAGCUUACCCAAGCUGAGUUUGCUCAAGAAACAUUCUGCAUAGAUAGACAAAGCAGAAAGAGAAACCGAGUUGUCAGUUCGCUCGGACAAGUUAAAAAUAAUGGAAAGAGAUGAAAAAGAAAGCUCUGGAAUGGAAGAGGUUGGCAAUGGAAUCAGGAAGUCAGCCCAUGAUUAUGAUGCAUCAUCUGGAAGAGGCCCAAUAUUUGAGUUUUUCUCUGGGAAUGAUAACGGUGAUCGACAUGCCGUUUUGGAUGCAAAUAGUUCUGGAUUUCCAGAUUUCUUUCAACAUUUCAGGCCUUUCCCCGAUGCGUGACCCCCUGUGUCACACCGCGGUGACAACUUGGCGAACCUUCUUAUAUAUCUGGCUGCCCCUUCUGUUUCUUUACAUUCAGAUGUACCGAUUUCAGUCUUUGCAGUGCAGGUAAUCAUGUAAAAAAUCAUGAUUGAAUUCAUUGUUAGUAAUGGGCCCGAAUCAUGAUUUGUUCCAACUGUUUGCCGAUAAAAUCUGGAAUGUCAUCUGUGGGCGUUUCUAUGUCAACUAAAACAGGAGAACUUGGACUGCAUAACAAUUUAUAAUGCCAUUCCGUGCCUUUACCUGUUGUGGAAAUAGAGGUCAAUUAGCAUAGCUCAGCAAAUGAGGGAACUGGAUUGAGAAGUAGUUGGGGAAUCCUCUGAAGAUUCUGUACCUUGUGGACACACUACUGUUCAAGUAACAAUACAAUAUGGAUGUGUAGUUCUGGGAUAAUUUAUGUUUAAGAAACUGGUUUUCCUGGAUGUGUUAAUAGCCAUUCUACUUCAGAUAUUUUGUUUCAGCCAAAGAACUUGCCGAAACUUGUGAAGGAGAAAUAAUCUGAGCGGCAUUUUGGAGUUGUUUGUGUUCAUUUUGGCUUUUCUACUUCGUGAAAGACUUCCCGAUGUUAAUCUUACCUUGGCAUUUUCAUACAUCUCCCAGAGUCACAAUUGGUUUGCUUUUACUCAAACAAAA
This is a long non-coding RNA of Rosa chinensis, 999 nucleotides long. RefSeq lists it as uncharacterized. The transcript has 5 exons. The record is from RefSeq and is a predicted model, not a curated record. Lineage: Eukaryota; Viridiplantae; Streptophyta; Magnoliopsida; Rosales; Rosaceae.